RNAcentral lists this ribosomal RNA (254 nucleotides) under uncultured bacterium. RNAcentral describes it as "partial 16S ribosomal RNA". It matches the Rfam family "Bacterial small subunit ribosomal RNA", at positions 524 to 776 of the family's 1533-position model. The record is from RNAcentral.
UACGUAGGGAGCGAGCGUUGUCCGGAUUUAUUGGGCGUAAAGCGCGCGUAGGCGGUUUUGUAAGUCGGAUGUGAAAACUCCAAGCUCAACUUGGAGCCUGCAUCCGAAACUGCGAUGACUAGAGUCUGGUAGGGGAACACGGAAUACCUGGUGUAGCGGUGAAAUGCUUAGAUAUCAGGUGGAACACCAGUGGCGAAGGCGGUGUUCUGGGCCAGUACUGACGCUGAGGCGCGAAAGCGUGGGGAGCGAACAGG